Molecule: ribosomal RNA, 494 nt
Filed under: uncultured bacterium
Lineage: Bacteria
Description: partial 16S ribosomal RNA
Rfam family: Bacterial small subunit ribosomal RNA
Source: RNAcentral
GACGAACGCUGGCGGCGUGCUUAACACAUGCAAGUCGAACGGAAAGGCCUGCUUUCCCUUGUGGAUUGCGGGUACUCGAGUGUCGAACGGGUUAGUAACCCGUUAGUGAUCUUCCCCCAACUUGGGUAUAAGCCUGGGAAACUGGGUCUUAUUCCCGCUAGGACUUCAUGGUUGUGCCUGUGGUGGAAAACGAUUUUCUAUUGGUUGGUGCUGGGUUCGCGUCCUAUUAGGUUGUUAGUGGGGUAAUGGCCUACUAAGGUGGCGACGGGUAGCUGGCCUGGGAGGGUGGACGGCCACAUUGGGAAUGAGAUACGGCCCAGAGGCCUACGGGAGGAAGGAGUGGGGAAUAAUGGACAAUGGGCGGAAGCAUGAUGCAGCGACGCCGCGUGGGGGAUGACGGCCUGCGGGGUGUAAACUCCUGUCGACCGCGAGGAAGCCACCUGGUUGGAAGGGUGGUGACGGUAGUGGUAGAAGAAGCACCGGCUAACUACGUG